This 507-nucleotide ribosomal RNA is filed under the name uncultured bacterium. Its description in RNAcentral is "bacterial SSU rRNA". It matches the Rfam family "Bacterial small subunit ribosomal RNA", at positions 8 to 518 of the family's 1533-position model. The record is from RNAcentral.
AGAGUUUGAUUAUGGCUCAGGAUGAACGCUGGCGGCGUGCUUAACACAUGCAAGUCGAACGCUGAAGCUCCCAGCUUGCUGGGGGUGGAUGAGUGGCGAACGGGUGAGUAUCACGUGAGUAACCUGCCCUUGACUCUGGGAUAAGCCCGGGAAACUGGGUCUAAUACUGGAUAGGACUGGCCAUCGCAUGGUGGUUGGUUGAAAGCUUUUGCGGUUUUGGAUGGACUCGCGGCCUAUCAGCUUGUUGGUGGGGUAAUGGCCUACCAAGGCUUUGACGGGUAGCCGGCCUGAGAGGGUGACCGGCCACACUGGGACUGAGACACGGCCCAGACUCCUACGGGAGGCAGCAGUGGGGGAUAUUGCACAAUGGGCGCAAGCCUGGAAUGCAGCGACGCCGCGUGAGGGAUGACGGCCUUCGGGUUGUAAACCUCUUUCAGUUGGGAAGAAGCCUUUCGGGGUGACGGUACCUUCAGAAGAAGCACCGGCUAACUACGUGCCAGCAGCGGC